Molecule: long non-coding RNA, 1131 nt
Filed under: Oreochromis niloticus (Nile tilapia)
Lineage: Eukaryota; Metazoa; Chordata; Actinopteri; Cichliformes; Cichlidae
Description: lncRNA (ENSONIG00000039123.1)
Source: RNAcentral
AUGGACGACGUACAGGCUCUCUUGGAGCAGCUGCAGCAGCUAAAAGCAGCAAAUGAACAGUUGAGAGACCAAUUACAGGAACGUUCUCCUGUGAGUGGUCCAGUGCCAGAUCCAGUGCCGGGUCCAUCUACUGUGCCAUCAAAUAUGAACCCAAUAAAUGAAACUACAAAUGUCUGUUACGUUUAUGCACCUCGGGAGCGUAAAUGCCCAAGGUUUACUGGUAAAUUGUCAGUGGACUUGUUAACUGUUGACCAGUGGGUUGAAGAAGUACGUAGAUGCCUGGAGAUUCGUCCUAUGUCAAGAGCAGCACAAGUGAUGUUUGUGAUGGACCAUCUUGAUGGCAGUGCUAAAUCUGAGGUCUGUUUUCAUUUGAGUACCAGUAGAGAUACUCCUGACAAGAUUUUUGACAUUUUAGUUGAGAACUAUAGCUGUACUCAGUCGUAUGUAGCUGCCCAGCUACAGUUCUUCCAGCGCACCCAGCGAGAAGGGGAAUCUCUGCGAGAUUACUCUCAUGCCCUUAAAUCUUUAAUGGACACUGUAAUCUGUAAGACACCAGGUGGUAUUCCAAAUUCUGAUAUAUUGCUACGGGACCAGUUUACUGAACAUGUCCAUGAUGAUAUGCUGCGCAGAGAGUUGAAACAGCGGGUCCUUCAAACACCAGACAUGUCCUUUCUUGCCCUACGCAGUAUUGCCCUUAAGUGGGCUGAUGUAGGUAGGCAGGGAGGGAAAACUAGGUCCCGAGCCUAUUCUUGUGAUACGAACUGUCAGGUAGUAGGAGUUAAUGCAGAGAUGCAUGCAGUCACCGCUAGGCCUAAUGAUGACAUUCUACAGAUAAAAGACUGCCUUCGUAAACAACAGGUUCAGUUGGAUAUGCUCAUGAAGCAAAUGUCUGUCCAUUUUUCACAGCCCUCUCAGACUGGACUAGCCCCGACCCCUCCCACAACUAGGCCUUUUCGUUUCCAGGCAGAUGGAAAGCCAAUUUGCCAUCGGUGUGGUAGGGCUGGUCAUAUUGCCAGAUUCUGUAGGGUAAAACAUCCACCUAUAAAGAAUAGUGGUGGGUCUCCUGCUGAUGCACAUGUACAAAGUCAGGUUGUGGAACAAGGCCCUGAGUCUCAGCCAUCGGGAAACUAG